AGGGGGAUGAAAUAUACAUUAAGGUAAACUCUUUUAUCUAAGAUGGAGUAUUGACUUUUAAGAUUCUUCAGCCUGAGGAUAAUUUGGUGGUAAAUAAUUAAUUAUCCACAUUCCGCAGGCACAUUCACCGGCAAGUGUUGUUAUAGGCACUUAGGGAACCUUUUCUUAAAUUUGUCAUAAUUUGGUUUUAAUGCUGCAAAGAUUGUGCUGCUAUCAAUUCAUAGGAAAACUGAAUUUUCUAGGUUAAUUUGUUUUAUUCAUUCUUUCUGAUGGUGAUCUGGCAUUUUGUCCAAUGUCUAAGUAGAUGAAAGCAAACAAGGAGAAGAGAUUAACCUAGGAAACUUUGGUAUACUAAAAGGAGAAUGAAGCAUGGCUAUUCUUUUUUUUUUAAAUAUGAUAAAUUGGCCAUGCUGCCAAAGUGCCAAUGGUGAAUGAAUAGAGAAUGGCAUUGGCAUUCCUUGAAAAUACUUGUAUAACUGGUAUUGUAUGUCUUUGCUGUCAUUAUUGGAGAAUAACAAAAUCAAGC
This 526-nucleotide unclassified non-coding RNA is filed under the name Hevea brasiliensis (rubber tree). Lineage: Eukaryota; Viridiplantae; Streptophyta; Magnoliopsida; Malpighiales; Euphorbiaceae. The record is from RNAcentral.